UAGGGAAUCUUCCACAAUGGGCGAAAGCCUGAUGGAGCAACGCCGCGUGUGUGAUGAAGGGUUUCGGCUCGUAAAACACUGUUGUAAGAGAAGAAUGACAUUGAGAGUAACUGUUCAAUGUGUGACGGUAUCUUACCAGAAAGGAACGGCUAAAUACGGGCCAG
RNAcentral lists this ribosomal RNA (164 nucleotides) under uncultured bacterium. Its description in RNAcentral is "partial 16S ribosomal RNA". It matches the Rfam family "Bacterial small subunit ribosomal RNA", at positions 355 to 511 of the family's 1533-position model. The record is from RNAcentral.